RNAcentral lists this long non-coding RNA (4363 nucleotides) under Nicotiana tabacum (common tobacco). Its description in RNAcentral is "long non-coding RNA (NTAB_LNC011501)". The record is from RNAcentral. Lineage: Eukaryota; Viridiplantae; Streptophyta; Magnoliopsida; Solanales; Solanaceae.
UAAUUUUUUUCUCUAAAAUACAAAAGCCUACCAAAUCAAGACCGGAGAUGAAACUUUGUAGUACAGAUAAGCGCAGUCAAUUCAUACGAUGUGAUUACCUUGAUGGAACAAGGCAGAGCGGCGAAGUCGAAAUCUCAAUUUCUCUCACUAAUUCUUUUUGUUAAGUUCCUAAGAGUUCUACAUUAGUCUUUAUAAGAAGGGCUGAUUUGUAUAAAAAAUAAAGUAUUCGAAUCUUCACGGGCAUUCACCUGUAGUAAAGAAGUAGCAAAAUUAGAGUGGGAAAAAGAGGGAUUCAUAAGUAAUGAAGUAGCAUUUAAAGUUUUAAAAAAAGAACAGGAAUCCUAAGUAGUCUUAUAAAGAAACAGUCCACCCCCUUCACAAUAUCCUUUCAUAAGAUGAAUGAAUUCUACCAUAUAUACUCAUCAAGUACAAAGUGUAGUUUAAAGCAAAAACAUGAUAAACUACUUGAACAUCAAGAACAUACAACCAUAGAACUCCCCGUCGAAACAUCUCUGCAUUCCAAAAAGCACAUACACCAAAAAAUAUUUCCAAGUUGUAUUCAGUUUCUUUGCGAGUACAAUACUCCAAAUGCAAAAAAAUUAUAAGACGUCUAAUGUACCGAAUCAUCAUAAGAUGUGACAUGGGACUCCUGGAUCAAUUUUCAUAUCUUAUAAAAUACUACAAAAAUCAACAUAUGAAAGAAGGGAGAAACUUGUUUGGAUUUGGCAGUAUCAGCUUAAAGUAGUAUUUACCUUGUUUCGACUGCGGGAUUGUAUUUAUUAGGUUCAAUUAUGGGGUGUUGGCGGCAGAGCUCAAGUUACUCUGUUUAAGUUUCUUAAAUAUUUGUAGAAAGGUAUUGUUUAACUAAGUAAAUGGAAGUGCAUUGAAGCUGGGAAAAAAAUGUGCGGUCAUAGUUCAUGGAUGGGGGUAAUUUCUGAUUCAUUUUCUUACUGGAAAACUGUUGCAAUAAAUUAAUUGAAAGAAUAUUAUUUUCUCAACAAUGCCCUUAUAGCUCACAGUAGAGUACUGUGCAACCUUUUGCACUUAUUAUUUUCACCACCAAACAUAUGAAAAGAAGCUAGCCAAGACAACUUCUUUCAAUUUCAAUCAAAUAAAAAAUUGUCCAAAUGAAAUGAAAACAUUGCAUGUUUCUUCCUAACAAAUAAGAAGAAUGAGAAAUCCAAAGUGCAAAGUGGAAGCUUAGAAAGAGAGUAGCACAAACUUACAGUAAAUGUAAGAGUCUGUACAUAUUUAUUGCCCGACGAAAAAACAAAUUACCUUUUUCAAUCCUUUUUCAAAUAUAAUGCAUAUUAUAUUAUUCAGUAGUUCUGUCCAGUAGAAGUAAGUAAUCUACUAUUGGGGUUGUUGGAUGAUAGAUCUUUACACCAUAGAACACCUACGGAAAAAGGAACAGAAUUACUCAAUACUAUCGCCAAACAUCUUUGAUGCAUCAAAGUUCUUCCCUUUUUAUUAAGUAUUAUACUAUUUUCUCUUCCUGAGGGUGAAUUCAUUGUACUUCCAUAUAAGAGUUGGAAGAACCAACCACAUGCAUGUACAAAAUCCACUUAGAAAACGCGAUAAGAGUAAAGAGCAUAUAUAAAUCAAAUAAGAAAAACUAUACACAUUAUACUAAAAAUAAAAAAUAAAGCAAAAUGCAAGGAAAAUUUCAGGCAGAAUGAAGAUUAUAAAUCAAUAUUCUUUUAAAAAAAAAAUUGAAUCACAUGUUUACAUGCCCAUCGAGAAAUAACAAAUAAACACUAUGCAAAAUCGAAAAUCUCCACGGAACCAAAAUGUAGUAAUAUUGAAAUGAAUUCAGAAUUCAAAGCCAAAAGUAGGAGUAAUCAAAACAAAUGCAUAAGAUUUAUAAGACAAAGAGAAAAGGAGUCGUUCAAGAUGGAGACUUACUUCCUCUCUUGCUCAACUUACUUCCUCUCUUGCUCAACUUCAUAUGCAUGUGCAGACGGUUCACAAAAGAACCAAAGCCACAAAAAUUUCUAUAAUGCUGGCCAAAUUUGUGGAAAAUUGGAAAAAAUCAAAGGCAGCAGAAAUUUUAGACUGCACAGUAAGCUUCUCCGAGAGAGGAGCAGAAGAAAUUGAAGAGCUAAGAUGAACACCAGAGGAAAAAGGCAAUGAAAUUUGAGACCCACAAACAGAAAAUUACAGAAAUGAUAAUGAGAAAGAGGAGAAAAGAGAGAAGAAUGACAGAGUGAGAAAUAAGAAUGACAAGAAAUAAGAAUGACAGAGUGAGAAAUAAGAAUGAGAGAAACGAAGAGAAAAUGGGUAUCAUCGCAAGUUCCAAUAGCGUUCCAAGCCAGAUGUCUCACUUGUUAACAUGUGUCAGCAUGAAAGAGCCAUGUUACAGUAGUGUUUGGCCCAAGUUAUCGUACAAUUUAGGGUGUUUUUUGUACAACUUUUUGAAGUUGUGUUCGUACACCUUAUUCACUUAUAUAUAGUAGAAAUACUACCUCUCUGAUAUUUGCUGAUAGAUAUGAUCAUCAAGAUCGAAACAUUUUUGUCUCUCUAAAAUCUAAAGGUAUUUCUGUACCAUAAGUCUUGGAUCCUCACCUUAGGCUGUUUCAUUAAAUUAUGAAAGAAGGGCUUUAGCCUUAACAGUAAGGUCUCUUUCUUGAAGUUACAAUCUUUUCAUAGAUAUUUUCCUGUCAAACGACACAAAUAUAGUAAAAACAUUCAUGAAUCUUGAAUAUCUAAGUUAAGCAUGAAACCAUGGAAACACAUUUAACUACUUCCCAAACAAUGAAUAUGCAACUGGUCAGCAUAUAUUAUCAAAGGAUAAGUCGAGUUCAUAGUAAUUCCUAUUACAUCUCCUACAUUUUUUCUUUCCUUAGUAGGACUACAAUUAACUUGUAUUUCGAUACUAUGGACAGACGUAAGGAACUCAAGAAUUUAGGGAGGACAACACAAAUUAUAGCAUAAAUAACAACAACAAUGAUCUUGAAGAAAUAGAAACAAACGUAAUAUUAUAUUACGUAGAAAGCAGGGGAAAAGAAAGAAGCAUGUGAUGAAAACAUAUUUUGUCAAAAAAUAAUAUUAAAAAGGAAACAUAAAAAACUUCGUAAAAUGAAACUCACCAUGCCUCUGUAGAACACAGUUAAACCUUGUGUAGGUAGUGAAAGAAUUAAAUAAUAUCAAUUAUUGAAGGGAAGAGUAAGCUGGCCUGAAAACAAAUAGCAGCUCUCAGUUAUCCAGGUCUAGAAAACAAUACAUAGUUCUAAUAUUUUACCAAUAUUAACCAAUUCACAAAAUAAAACCAUCUUCAACUCCAAAUAUUUUACCAAUAUUAACCAAUUCACAAAAUAAAACCAUCUUCAACUCCACUAAUUCACAAGUGUCAGAAAUAUCUCAUCUGCAUAAAGAUUCAAAUUCUCUAAAUUCUAAAUAACAGUGACAGAUGGUUUUAACAAAUUUUGGAACUUAGUUGGCAUUAGACCGAGCGAUUUUAUUACGUUUCCAUAUCAAAAAUAGCUAAACGCCCAAGAUUGUCAAGAAAAUAGUUUUCUAAAAAUCAAUAUAAAAAUUUUCAGAAGUACUUAUAACUUUGAAAGCAACAAAAUUAAAACGCAUAUGCCUUGAGCAUAAUGCAAGAGGAGAUCAACCAGUUCCAAGUAGCCAGCAGAUUAGUUUAAAUAUUUUUGAAAAUUAUUGUAUUUAAAGGAAACCUACGAAUGAAGGUCUAUUUCCCGUUCAGUUUGAAAACUAAGGUAGCUAAAUAUCUUCUUGAAAGCAACUCAAGGAAUUAAGUAUUGUCAUUUCAAGAUCUUUCUAAUCCUCUCAAAGGAGAUAUCGGGCGCAAUGCUCAGGAUGUAUUCCUAAGUCUCAAUCUCCUUAAUAAGCUUUCAUCUCACUACUCAAUUACCAGGAUAGCAAAGAUUCUGAAACAGUUUCAGAUGCAAUGCUUUUGAUUAUAGUAUCUUCAAAUUAUAUUUCUCCAUAAAUCUUUAAGACUUAAGAUAUCUUCAGAUUUUGAACAUCAAAAGAUUCAAAUUGAUUAGUCCCAUGUAUGCUUAUGAGUCAUGAUAACUACAAAAUGCUUAUGAGUCAUGAUAACUACAAAAUGCCUAGUUAAUUGUAGGCAAACGGACAACAAUAUCUCGCACAAUUUUUUUUUCAACUGAGCAGAUGCCUAUAGCAAAAUUUCAGCAGUAAGUAAUAGCACGAUAAAGCGAGAAAUUAAAUCAGUUUGGUUUCUAUAUUUAAGUACCCUCGACCUUGACAGGGUCACAAGUCACAACACUAAAAAAAGAUUCUACCAAGGUUAUGUACUAAGAAGAAUAGAUAUCAUAAGAAACUUUUAACUGAAAAAAUUGCUGCAGAUCGCUUCCACCAAUAAGUGCUUAUGUUUCCC